Long non-coding RNA from Aegilops tauschii subsp. strangulata, 1197 nucleotides. RefSeq lists it as uncharacterized. The record is from RefSeq and is a predicted model, not a curated record. NCBI's taxonomy places the organism in Eukaryota, Viridiplantae, Streptophyta, Magnoliopsida, Poales, Poaceae.
CCCCUUUCCCCAGAUCCUUGCUCGUGAAGAUGCCUGUCCAAUUCGGCCCGACUCCCGUGUCGCUCCCGUGGGCGGCCCGGGAGUAAAAACCCAAGCCGCCGCCAGUUCCUCACCUCCGGCCACUCUCCCCUCACCGCCGCCAGCAUGGGUCGCCGGGCAAAGCCCGCGCGGCCUGGCGGCGGUGGGCCCUCUCCACCUCCGCUUCCGGGCUUCGCGGCGCGGGCCGCUGGCCUCUGCUGGAGUUCUUGGGGACGCAUCGCUCGAGGCAGCACGGCAAGACAGCGGGGCGGCAAGUCGACGGCGCGGCGCAGGGUGGCUCUGGCGCGCAGGUCGCGGUGCGGGAUGGUUCUGGCGCCCAGGUCGCGGUGCGGUCGCACGCGGAUCUGGCGCCUGGAGGGUACGCGGUGGGCGGGGCGUCUGCACCUGGAGGGCGCGCUACGGCGCAGCUCGGCUGCGCACGGAGGUGCAGCGCGGGCGCUCGGGAGGUCCGGGCGGCCCAGAUCUAGCGAGCGCAGCGGCAACGACUUGGGCGGCGCGACCCCCUCUCCCUUCCCUUGACGGGAUCUCAUCCGCGGAGCUUCUGGCGGCGCGGCGCGCCUAGGCUCUGGCGGCAGCCCUGUUCUGUGGAGGUGGCGGUGGUGGGCUGGCUUCGUCCGGUGGUGCUGCCUGGGUGGCGGCAGCUUUGGGCGGCGCGUCUUCCCUCCCUACCCCAGAUGGGAUCUCGUCCGGCGGAGUUCCUGGCGGUGCAGCGCGUCCAGGCUCUGGUGGAAGCCCUGUCCGGUGGUGGUGGUGGUGGUGUUGGGCAGGCAGGCGCCCUCGGAGGCUGCUGGGCACUUGGUGGUGCUGGCAGCUGCGGUGUGGUUCGGCGGGGUGGUGCCGGCUAUCCUGGCGAUGGUGCGGCUGUUCACAAGUGGCUCCUUCGGCAAGGUGCUGCGGCAGUAGCGAUGUGAAUCAACUUGGACGGUGCGGCCCCAUUCCGAUGGGUUGGAUUGUAGGUGUGCGGCGAUACGGAUGAAAAUCCAGCCCAGCUUUGGUCGGUGCCAGCGGCGACGGCACCUGUGGAUGUCGUUCACCUUCCUGAAGGCGUCGCUGUGGUGCAUCGACACCUCGCUCCCUCUCAUUUGGUAUGUUGUCUCCGGGCGAAAGCCUUGAUUCGGUUGCGAAUCGGUGAUGACGGCGUCAUUGGCGUCGUUCCUC